Molecule: transfer RNA, 77 nt
Filed under: Pseudomonadota bacterium
Lineage: Bacteria; Pseudomonadati; Pseudomonadota
Also listed under: 1 other name
Description: tRNA-Met
Rfam family: tRNA
About the family: Transfer RNA (tRNA) molecules are approximately 80 nucleotides in length. Their secondary structure includes four short double-helical elements and three loops (D, anti-codon, and T loops).
Source: RNAcentral
GGCGGGGUAGCUCAGUUGGUGAGAGCGCAGGAUUCAUAACCCUGAGGUCGGGAGUUCAAAUCUCCCCCCCGCUACCA